This 76-nucleotide transfer RNA is filed under the name Opitutia bacterium. RNAcentral's name for it is "tRNA-Thr". It matches the Rfam family "tRNA". From Rfam's summary of the family: Transfer RNA (tRNA) molecules are approximately 80 nucleotides in length. Their secondary structure includes four short double-helical elements and three loops (D, anti-codon, and T loops). The record is from RNAcentral. Lineage: Bacteria; Pseudomonadati; Verrucomicrobiota; Opitutia. RNAcentral also lists the same sequence under 3 other names.
GCCCAUGUAGCUCAGUCGGCAGAGCGCGUCCUUGGUAAGGACGAGGUCGGCGGUUCAAAUCCGCUCGUGGGCUCCA